RNAcentral lists this non-coding RNA (175 nucleotides) under uncultured Faecousia sp. RNAcentral describes it as "malK-I RNA". It matches the Rfam family "malK-I RNA". The record is from RNAcentral. Lineage: Bacteria; Bacillati; Bacillota; Clostridia; Eubacteriales; Oscillospiraceae.
AUGCCUACUCCACAAACAAUAGGCAUAGGAAGCUAAAAUAAAGGAGGAAACCCCCGUUUCGACUCACGGUGCGGCAGUGUGGAGACCUGUCGUAAUGCUUCCGCUAUUUUACCUGGCGGUACGCGAGUGCAUUCAUUGAGGAUUCAGGAUGCACGGAGUCACAAAAAUCAUGGCA